CUCUUGUAAAUAUUGCAUCCGAAAUUCAUUCGAGAGAAUCAAGAGAUAUCGUAGAAAAAGACCCUGAAAACAACUUAUCUCAAGAAUUAUCUUUGGUAUCAGUUCAACGAAAAGAUGUUAGUAUUAUGACAGAGCCUGACAUCAGGGAUGAAACCAUAUUUCAGCUAAAACAAGAAAUUGAACGUCUUAAAAAUGAAAAUCAAGUGCUCCAUAGAUUUAUCUCUCUUUACUCUUUAUUUUAUCUUGAUAUUUGAUGGCUUUGAACAAACCCAGAGAACACCAUAGGUCCAAAUUAGUUGUAUCAUAGAUUUAUGCAGAUGCAGUUUAUAUUCAACGGCGAGUUUUGAUUUUUGACCCAUUUGUUUUCUUCGCUUAAAUAUUCUUGAAAAUUCAAUUUUUCCAAUUAAUAAUUUUGCAUUUAAAAAACAGCCAAAAGUACUAAAUACCUCAUUUGUUUUGAAGCACGAAAACAUAUAUUAUUAUAACAAGUGACCAUAUAAUUAUUGCAAAGACUUAAAAAAAAUGUUGUUAUGUGACAAGGUUUUUGUUACAUAGGCUGAUUAUAUGUAUCUUUAUAAUCUGUGUUUUUACCCCUCAUAUUUUUGUGAAUUUUAUGGACUUAUUUUAAUAACGUAUGUAGGUACCAUUUAAAAAUAUUACGAUGUUUAAUUUCUAAUUUUAAAUGUCAAUAAAAUGUAAAUAUAUGUACAUGAUACAUAAAACUACUUUUAUUUAUUUGUAUUAUAAUCGAAAUAAAAUCAUGCUGUAUCCGCUAAUAAAAGAAGUUUUUAAUAA
Molecule: long non-coding RNA, 795 nt
Organism: Diabrotica virgifera virgifera (western corn rootworm)
Lineage: Eukaryota; Metazoa; Arthropoda; Insecta; Coleoptera; Chrysomelidae
Exons: 2
Source: RefSeq, a predicted model, not a curated record